CCUACGUGAGGCAGCAGUGGGGAAUAUUGGAUAAUGGGGGAAACCCUGAUCCAGCGACGCCGCGUGAGUGAAGAAGUAUUUCGGUACGUAAAGCUCUAUCAGCAGGAAAGAAAAUGACGGUACCUGACUACGCAGCCCCGGCUAACUACGUGCCAGCAGCCGCGGUCAUACGUAGGGGGCAAGCGUUAUCCGGAUUUACUGGGUGUAACGGGAGCGUAGACGGCAGCGCAAGUCUGGAGUGAAAUGCCGGGGCCCAACCCCGGAACUGCUCUGGAAACUGUGAAGCUGGAGUGCAGGAGAGGUAAGCGGAAUUCCUGGUGUAGCGGUGAAAUGCGUAGAUAUCAGGAGGAACACCGGCGGCGAAGGCGGCUUACUGGACUGUAACGGACGUUGAGGCUCGAAGGCGUGGGGAGCAAACAGGAUUAGAUACCCGAGUAGUC
RNAcentral lists this ribosomal RNA (440 nucleotides) under uncultured bacterium. RNAcentral's name for it is "partial 16S ribosomal RNA". It matches the Rfam family "Bacterial small subunit ribosomal RNA", at positions 338 to 795 of the family's 1533-position model. The record is from RNAcentral.